RNAcentral lists this ribosomal RNA (492 nucleotides) under uncultured bacterium. RNAcentral's name for it is "partial 16S ribosomal RNA". It matches the Rfam family "Bacterial small subunit ribosomal RNA", at positions 29 to 507 of the family's 1533-position model. The record is from RNAcentral.
AGUGAACGCUGGCGGUAGGCCUAACACAUGCAAGUCGAACGGCAGCACAGUAAGAGCUUGCUCUUACGGGUGGCGAGUGGCGGACGGGUGAGGAAUACAUCGGAAUCUACUUUUUCGUGGGGGAUAACGUAGGGAAACUUACGCUAAUACCGCAUACGACCUACGGGUGAAAGCAGGGGAUCUUCGGACCUUGCGCGAUUGAAUGAGCCGAUGUCGGAUUAGCUAGGUGGCGGGGUAAAGGCCCACCAAGGCGACGAUCCGUAGCUGGUCUGAGAGGAUGAUCAGCCACACUGGAACUGAGACACGGUCCAGACUCCUACGGGAGGCAGCAGUGGGGAAUAUUGGACAACGGGCGCAAGCCUGAUCCAGCCAUACCGCGUGGGUGAAGAAGGCCUUCGGGUUGUAAAGCCCUUUUGUUGGGAAAGAAAAGCAGCAGGUUAAUACCACGCUGUUCUGACGGUACCCAAAGAAUAAGCACCGGCUAACUUCGUG